Molecule: transfer RNA, 68 nt
Filed under: Cromeria nilotica (naked shellear)
Lineage: Eukaryota; Metazoa; Chordata; Actinopteri; Gonorynchiformes; Kneriidae
Description: tRNA-Ser (AGY)
Source: RNAcentral
GAGAGAGGCUGGCAGCAACAAAGACUGCUAAUUUUUGUCUCCCCCGGUUAAACUCCGCGGCUCCCUCG